RNAcentral lists this long non-coding RNA (973 nucleotides) under Manacus vitellinus (golden-collared manakin). Its description in RNAcentral is "lncRNA (ENSMVIG00005003980.1)". The record is from RNAcentral. Lineage: Eukaryota; Metazoa; Chordata; Aves; Passeriformes; Pipridae.
UGAUGAUAGCUUUGUUGCUUCAAAAAAAAAAAGACUGUGACUCAGGUUUGCUAGCACUCAAAAAGACUUGGACUGAGGGCAGGUCUGAAAAAACUGAAUAUUUACCUGCGUUUUUGCCAAAAGCUGUAGUUUGAGGAUCUUCAAUGAAACCGAAGUUCAGUGAUGUUGUAGCAAUGAUGAUUUGGUUGGUUUCUUCCUAAUCCUUUGCAGGUGAAAAGAAUGUUGUCUUACUGAGCCCUCCCCCAGUUUGCUAUUUCAGUAAUUAUGCCAUUCCCUAGUGUGAGAGUAGGCUGCAAUUUUAAGGACCUCAGAAUUUUGCUACUGGCUCUCAGUGGUGGACUUUGCCAGAAAACUCUGUUGCAACCGGUUGGUAGAUGUCUGGUGCACAGGAGAUCAGAGAGCAACUCUGCAGAUCAUCAUACAUGUGGUACUGAAGAACAAUCUGAUGGAUCUUGUUUUUCCAAAGCACAGAGCUAAGAUUUGGGAACCUCACUGAGUGAAUCAGAUGAGCGUGAUGCGAAGAGCCAAGAAAUGGAGAAUCAAAAUAUCUUGUGGAUCACACCCAACAAAUAGCUGCUGCUCACCUCACCGUGGCUACAGUCAUCAUUCAAGCUGUGCUCGGUGGUGGGGUACAGCAAAGUCCCCUGUAAUUAACAGAGACAAACAAGGACUAUGUUGCAAUGUGAAGAUAUGCAAGGCCAAGUUAGAUACAAGAAAACAACCAAGCAACCAUUUUUUUGCCAAAAACCUUUUGUGAACUGCCAAGAACUGUGGAGCAUUGAAACUUUACUGCCAUUCUCUCUCUGUGAGGAACAUUGGCUUUGACCUGCCUUUUCCAACAUUAACAUAAUUCUAUGUGUGUGUGUCAUUAAAAUACACAACAAAAAGAACUGCUUCGCUGCCCAUUGUCCCUUGCUGGGAAGGAACAAAUUGAACAAUCCAAUGCCAUAUGCUUGUCACUUUGCUUCAUGCA